This 209-nucleotide long non-coding RNA is filed under the name Populus trichocarpa (black cottonwood). RNAcentral's name for it is "long non-coding RNA (PTRI_LNC001804)". Lineage: Eukaryota; Viridiplantae; Streptophyta; Magnoliopsida; Malpighiales; Salicaceae. The record is from RNAcentral.
UUUUUUUUUUUUUUUUUUUUGAUUUACGUGGGGUGUCCGGGCCAGCUUACGCGCACCACGACUAUUCCCCACGGCCCACUGAACAUCCUGCAAGCCCAGGAGCAGGUAAGGCACCGCGGGGGUGACAGGCGUGCACAUAGAGGGUCGAACCCGGGACGGGGGCGGAACAAGUCACACGGUUGACCACAGCAGCUAGACCCUCAAGUGCU